Long non-coding RNA from Bubalus bubalis (water buffalo), 896 nucleotides. RefSeq lists it as uncharacterized. The transcript has 3 exons. Lineage: Eukaryota; Metazoa; Chordata; Mammalia; Artiodactyla; Bovidae. The record is from RefSeq and is a predicted model, not a curated record.
UUAAAAGUUCAAACUGCUGAAAAGACUCCCUCAUGGAAAAUCUAACUGACAGAGCUCUAAUUAACCGGCUUAAAUAUUCACAUGUAAGUGAUAUCACAUGAUAUAAGCCUUUGUCUGACUUGACUUCACUAAGGCAAUCUCUAGCCAGGUUCUCACAGUUGAGGACAGAGCCCUCCAAGAGUGACAACCGCUCUGCUGCUCUCAGGGAAGGUCAGCAUGUAGGAGAGAGACGCAUCAGCAUGUAACGGAGAGAGACGCAUCAGCAUGUAAUGGACAGAGACGCAUCAGCAUGUAGGAGAGAGACGCAUCAGCAUGUAAUGGACAGAGACGCAUCAGCAUGUAAUGGAGAGAGACGCAUCAGCAUGUAAUGGACAGAGACGCAUCAGCAUGUAAUGGACAGAGACGCAUCAGCGGCGGGCCACCUGUGCUGGCCGUGGGCGUGGGAGGGGGUGGCCACCACCUCCGUCCGUCCACAGUAGGUGGCCCCGGCACUUGUCUCUCUCUUCCAUCUCCCCAGGCAGGUGAUGGGCCACCCUCAGGACUGACAGUCACCAAGAGCCAUGGUCUUCCUCUGGCCCAACUUUUCAGCCUUAUCAUUUGAGUUAUACGCCAGACUCCUUCUUUGGGUCUUGAGUUCUGAGCUGGCCCUGUACUAAAUGAAUUAUGUUAUUUUGACAAACGUUUUUUUUCUGUUACACUUAGAACUAUUUUAAAAUCAAGAUCAGACCGUGGAAUGUUCUUGGGGAGAAUUUUUCCCCUUCUUUGGCGUAUGUUGUUAUGUCUGGAAGCCACCAAGGGACCGCUAAAAAUGACAGACCCCAAAUUACAAGGUCAUCACAUAUUCUUCCAGCAAACUGUCUUGGAAAAUAUCUCUGUGAUUAAAAAAAAGAAAACAA